GUUAAGACUAACGUGUGAUAGCUUUUGUAACUUAAGUCUUUCCUUAACUUAUAGGAGAAGUUAUUGAUGUGGAUCAUGGAAUUAUUUGCGAAAAUGUUCCCAUACCUACACCAACGGGAGAAGUGGUGGCUUCCAGGCUAAACUUCAAAGCAGGUUGCCAUCUUUCUGCUUCCGCCUCCUCACCUUGACAAUGGGGAGAAUAACGGUAACCUGCCUUUUGGAUGUGAGGAUUAAAUGAGACAGUUGGUGCAAAGCAGUCGGCGCAGGAUCUGGCACAAAGUGAAGCCUUCAAUAAAUGAUGAUUACAGUAGUUUUGACUUCCCUCCAGUCGGAAUAUCGUUGAGUUGAAGUUAGUGGCUAUGUCACAGCUGUGUCUCAGGCUGGUGUCUGCCGCCCUGAGCCAAGCCGUAAAAAUCCCUAGAAUAACUUUGCAAAAGCCUGUUAGCCUCUGGAGGCUCCUACACUUCUUUAUUUUAUUUUGCUUUAUUUUGUUUUAUUUUAUUUUAUUUUACUUUAUUGCAGUGACAGUGGAUUCUAACAUCACGUAGCUUUCCAGAGGUACGUUGUAAUACAUUUCGAAUUCUGUGUAGAUUACGUCGUGUUCACCACCCCAAAACUAAUUAUAGUCCGUCACCUCACAUGUGAGCCUCAUCGCCCCUUUUGCUCUCUCCCCUCCCCCCCUCCCCCUACGGUAACCACCAAUCCAAUCUCCGUUGCUCUGUGCGUGUUCGUCAUUGUUUUUAUCAUGUACUUAUGAGUGAGAUCACACGGUGUUUGACUUUCUCCCUCUGAUUUAUUUCACUUCACAUAAUACCCUCAAGGUCCAUCCACGUUGUCACAAAUGGCCGGAUCUCAUCGUUUCUUAGGGCCGAGUGGCAUUCCAUUGUGUAUACAUACCACAUCUUCUUGAUCCAUUCUUCCCUUGAUGGGCACCUAGGUUGCUUCCAAGUUUUGGCUGUUGUGAAUAAUGCUGCAGUGAACCUAGGGGUGCAUGUGUCUUUCUGCAUUGGUGUUUUCAAGUUCUUUCAAUAAAUACCCAGCAGUGGGCUAGCUGGAUCAUACAUAUGGUAGAUGUAUUCUUAGUUUUCUGAGGAUACUCCAUACGGCUUUCCAUAGUGGCUGCACCAGUCUGCACUCCCACCAGCAGUGUAGGAGAGUUCCUUUCUCUCCACAUCCUCUCCGACACUUGUCUCCUGUCUUGUUAAUUAGAGCCAUUCUGACCAGAGGAAGGUGACCUCUCCUUGUAGUUGUGAUUUGCCUUCCUCUGAUAGCUAAUGAUGUUGAGCCCCUUUCCAUAUGCCUGUUGGCCAUCCGGAUACCUUCUUUGGAGAAGUCACUGCUCAGAUCUUUUGCCCGUCUUUUUAAUCGGGUUGUUGAGUUUUUG
Molecule: long non-coding RNA, 1384 nt
Filed under: Equus caballus (horse)
Lineage: Eukaryota; Metazoa; Chordata; Mammalia; Perissodactyla; Equidae
Description: lncRNA (ENSECAG00000036798.2)
Source: RNAcentral